GGUGGAUCAUGGAAUGUGGAUCAGCUGUGUAGGAAUGGAGCAGGAUGAACGGCCACGCCUCCUCACCUGCUUCCUCUAGACACGCCCCUUUUCUCUUCUGGUUGAUGCUUCUAGAAGACAAAGAGUCACAAGGUCAGUUGGUAGUUUAACUGUUAUCCUGCAUUAGAAUUAGGUCACAUUACAAUAUUCUCUUGGCGUUUUGAGAGGGAGAACCAAUCCAGCCCAGUCUGCUCAUUGCUGAAUGCUCACUUCCUAUAGUUUGAAUUCCUCCACUAUUGCUGUAGACGACAAAAUAUACAUAGACGCCGCAUUGGCUUCUGGUCGCGAGAAAUACGCCGCCAUCUUGGAGCGGUCGAAGAUGCAGGACGCCACAGCACUGUGCUGCUUAUUUCUGCGCUAAUCGGCGGAGCAUCGCCAGCAGGGCUCAGGGGGGAAAACCUUUCACAAACUCUCCCAAAUCUUCCGUUUUCAUUUUGAAUGUGAGGAAGAAGUGGCUUUGAGGAGAGAUGGAUUUACAGCGAGUGAUUCAUCAGUGCUUUGCUGUGAACACUUUGAUGAGACGGGUCAGAUUGUCCCACUCCGAGAUGGUGUUAUUCCAUCAGUCUUCAGCUUCCCGGUUCACCUCCAAAAAUUGGAGAAGGGCAGGUCUACCUCCACCUCCAGAAGAGCUGAUGAAUGUCUGUCCGGCCUCUCAGGAUUCCCAAGAAAUGGCAACCUCACACCCACAGCCUCAGCCUAAUGAUGUGCUGAGAGCUGCAGAGAGGGUGAUCCAACAACACAAGCUCCUGAGGCGUCGACAGUCACACACAUCGUCCGACAGGAGAUUGGAACGGAUGAUGGUUUUUUGCUUGGGGAACACAUGAAGACACAGUUUGGCAUCGACAACCAUCACUCAGACUUGUUGUCAUUGGUUGUCAAGAAGCUCUGCAAGACAGUCCUAUUCCAGGGGUUUGUGUGUGUGUGUGUGUGUGUGUGUGUGUGUGUGUGUGUGUGUGUGCGCGUGCGCGCGUGUGUGUGUGCUUGCAAAUAUUCAAUUCAUUUUAUUUCUAAUUCUAUAUUGUUUUUUAGCGUAUAAAAUGUCUGACUUUACUGCUACUAUCAAAAUUAUAGUGUGUGAUUUUCAAAAUACCUAUCAUAGUCUACAUCAUAUAUCAGAAUAUAACAUUACUGUUAAGUCCACAAUGAAUAUUAAAAUACGCCGAACUAUGUGCCCUGUGUCAUAGCUGCAUGUAUGACCUUUGCAGCAAAAAAACCCAGGUGAA
Molecule: long non-coding RNA, 1262 nt
Organism: Gasterosteus aculeatus aculeatus (three-spined stickleback)
Lineage: Eukaryota; Metazoa; Chordata; Actinopteri; Perciformes; Gasterosteidae
Source: Ensembl